AUAUUGCUCUUUCCUGGAUCUAAAAACUCCCUAGUCCACCCAUUUGCCUACACACGUCCACACAUUUCACCUCGUCCCCAACCUCCUCCGGCGUCGUCAGAUCCGCCGGCGGGAGCCCCCUGCUACAGCGCCCCGACCCGGCUGCCCCUCCUCCUCGAAUCCUCCCCGCCGGGCCGCCCCUCCUCGACUCCUCCCCGCCCGGGCCGACCUCCAGUGCCGUGCAGCAGGACGCGCCCGGCAGCAGGACUCGACCGGCCGCCCGCCUGCCCGGCCCUCUCUUCCCUCCGCCCGGCAGCAGGAGGCACCCUCACGGCCGGCCCUCCCUUCUAUUUGCUGGUUACAACACUUCUGAAGUUAUUUCACUUGUUUACCAGAAAGAAAACAGAGUUAAACUGCUGAUUGUCAAGGUAAUGAACAGUACUGUAUGCUUGAUGCCGUUUAAUAUUUGACCGAUUUCAUUAUUUUGCUGUUGCUUUUAGCUCUUUCUUUCUUUUACAUAUGCAGUCGCACAGUGAUAAGAUGGUCCGUCUUGUCAUAGCUGGUGAUGGUUUUACACCAUACUAGUUGAAUGCUGCUCCAUAUACUUGCUGACCUGUUUUUGUAGCUCUAUUAAACCUUCCACCUGGUAUUCUCUUGAAACCAGAGUAUAUAUUCCUUAGCCUUGUUAUCCCUGGUCCUGAACAUCUUGGUAAAAUUUGAGUGUCCUAAUGCAACCUUUAGCUGAUGAACUGAUGCAAUUGUGGGCGGGGGCUGAAACAUGGGAUGCUUAUCACAAGGUAAACUUCCCAAUGAAAGCGGCAUUUCUAUGGUCAGUCCACGACUUUCCUGCCUUUGGUAUGUUUGCUGGGUGGAGCACCCAUGGCAAGCUAGCAUGCCCUGAAUGCAUGAGUGAUUCCAAAGCAUUUACUCUUCAAUACGGGUGGAUUGUCAUAAGCUAGCAUGCCUUUGGCAUCUACUCUUCAAUACGGCCGACUGACAGGAAAAAGCGAAUUUCCCUAUCAAGCUAUCCCUGUCGUCUUUCCCUGAAGGGUGACCGACAGGAAAUACUUUCCCUGUCGGGUUCCCCCCUUUUCCUGUCUGUUUGCAGCCCACAGAAAUAUUUCAGAUUCUGGUAGUGUUCAUCUUGGAAAUAAAAAUGUUUUACCUUGUCAUAGUUGCAUACCUUAGUUGGCACUGUUUUGCCUCUUGAAAUUAUACUAGCUGAACUAAAAGGAACAUUCGUAGAAAGAAAUGCUUGUGCACGAACAAAUGACUUAGCACACACUCUUGUGGUCCUCACAUACCAUAUGCACUCUUCAACUUCAGCCACUAUGAGGUUCAACGCCUCGCUUGUGUCCACCGUCCUUUCUGCAGUGUCCUCUCUACCUCUUCAAGAUAUUGUUUUCAUAUGCCUGGUCUUUCUCUUUAGUUCUGAUGACUUUUGUUAGAAUAGUUUGCAAACCCUAACAUAAACCUUUAGUCCCAAAUUAAUAUAUGAAGGAAAAAAAUAUAGUAUGGAUAGUCCCGAAGAAUAAGUUAUAUGUUUCCACACAGCAUGUUAACAAAACGGAAAUGACAAAUCCUGAACGUUCAGGAUUUUACCAUGGCAAAUCGAACGUUUUCGAUGGCAGUUUUAGUGACGCGAGGAUGGCAAGUUUAGUUGACACGCAAGACAAUUUUCUGGCAAAAAAAUACACUGAGCACGGAGUUGCCAUGCUUGCCAACUAAAAUUGACAUCCUCGUGUCACUAAAAUUGCCAUCGAAAACGUUUGAUUUGCCAUCGUCAAAUCCCAAACGUUCUGGCGUUAUCGGGAUCCUAACAGAACACCCCCUCAUCCCCUCCGCCCUCCCCUUUUCGCUACCACAAUCGACCUUAUUGUUGAAUAAGCUACCUUCCUAUGGCCUUCAGCAAAGGUUUCCGUCCAGUACUAUGAACAGAAUAAUGUUCUCUUGGGGAUGAAGAGUUGUCCCUUUACAAUGGAAAAGCAUGUUACUCCUCCAUCCCUAUUUCCAUGACCACUUGUUUUUCUUGAUUACAUUUAAGCACCGGUUCUGCCAAUAAUAUAUUAAUUAUAUGUCAUAACUGUUAAAACCUGCAUUUUAAUAUGAAUUAUAUUUCCCUUCAUUCGAACUCUAAAAAGGCCAUAUGAUAGCUUUACAAGAAGACACAUAGUUUCACAUCGCAUUAUAAGAAUGCCCUUUAACAAUGGGCAUGAAUCUUAUGUUAAAACAAGUUAGAGUCAACCAAAAGAAAAGAAACAAGUUAAAAUAUUCCUUUGCAGUCCAUUUCCUUCAAGAAACAUUUAAAUAUCCUCAAGAAAUGCAGAACCCCAGUAAUGUUUGAUACUCUACAACUUUUUGAAGCAACCUGAACCAAACACUGUUUCAUAGAUUAGUUUUAAUGAAACUAUUUCAUAAUCUAAAACAUGUACACAACAUGUCUGUUUCCCAUUCCUUGCGAGUAUUAUCACUUCCUAGGCUACAAGAACCAUACUCCAAACCGAAAGAUAUCAACAAAAAAUCACUAUCUUUUC
This is a long non-coding RNA of Triticum dicoccoides, 2513 nucleotides long. RefSeq lists it as uncharacterized. Lineage: Eukaryota; Viridiplantae; Streptophyta; Magnoliopsida; Poales; Poaceae. The record is from RefSeq and is a predicted model, not a curated record. The transcript is spliced from 2 exons.